Molecule: ribosomal RNA, 444 nt
Filed under: uncultured bacterium
Lineage: Bacteria
Description: bacterial SSU rRNA
Rfam family: Bacterial small subunit ribosomal RNA
Source: RNAcentral
AACGAACGCUGGCGGCAGGCCUAACACAUGCAAGUCGAACGCCCCGCAAGGGAGUGGCAGACGGGUGAGUAACGCGUGGGAACGUGCCCUUCGGUUCGGAAUAACUCAGGGAAACUUGAGCUAAUACCGGAUACGUCCGUAAGGAGAAAGAUUUAUCGCCGAAGGAUCGGCCCGCGUCGGAUUAGCUAGUUGGUGAGGUAACGGCCCACCAAGGCGACGAUCCGUAGCUGGUCUGAGAGGAUGAUCAGCCACACUGGGACUGAGACACGGCCCAGACUCCUACGGGAGGCAGCAGUGGGGAAUAUUGGACAAUGGGCGAAAGCCUGAUCCAGCCAUGCCGCGUGAGUGAAGAAGGCCUUAGGGUUGUAAAGCUCUUUUCAGCGGGAAGAUAAUGACGGUACCCGCAGAAGAAGCCCCGGCUAACUUCGUGCCAGCCGCCGCUGU